GGGCGUGCCAGAGACGUGGGGGGGUGGGGUGGCAGCGCGACAAAGGCAGGCAGAGGUGCAAGGGCUAGAGAGGCGGGCGGGCGAGAGAGAGGUGGGCGAGAGCCCUAGAGUCCAAGAGGCCAAGGGCGAGAGCCGGAGAGCUAGACAGGACAUGCCUGGCGUGCGCAGGGCAUUUACAACCGCAAGUCCUCCACCAGCUAUCGUCCUACCAAGAGUUGUGCCAAAAACUCGGAAUUUUCUAAUAUAAGGAGGUUGCUGGACCCCCAAGCCCCCGUCCCCCGCUCCCCCCCCAUGGGGGCCAGAAACAGCGGGGUAUUUUAACAAGCUACCUUGGAGAGGGGGGAACAAACUAAGGGACUGAUGCUGUCCCCCCCGCCUUCUUAAUUUUCUUAAUAAGGGAGCCAAUUUCUUGAAAAUAAAUCAAGUUUUUUGGAGCGCUGACAAAACCUUUUCACAACUGGCAAUUCAUUCGAGUGUCCAGGACGUGGCAGUGCCUCAAAGACCACAUUUCAGGGUGACUCUCUAUAUCCUCCACAAGAGCCGCAACCUCUUCUCCACUCUCUGGAUGAUGUAAUUGCACCCAGGUCCGGGUCUCUCCAGGUAGCAUGGUCAGGAACUGCUCCAUUAUCAGAUGCUCCAGGAUCUGUUCCUUUGUGCAUGUGUCUGGCUUCAGCCAACUUUGGCAGAGCUCCCGGAGUCUGACCAGGGCCUCGUGCGGCCCUGAAGUCUCUGCAUAGCGCAACUGUCUGAAGAGCCGGCGGGAGAGUUCUUGUUUAGGGCUGGUGUUCUUCAGCGGAUGAGAUUUUGGUUCCUCCUCACCUUCUUCCUUCUUCACUGUCCAAAGCCUUUCCGAAUCCAAACUUGUUUCAGUCCACUUGUCCUUUUUUUCGAUCAUCAUCUCCACUGAGCUGACAGACUCCCUGCUGUUAGGAUCUACUGAAGUUCCUAAACCUAAAGAUUCAGCUUCUCCUCAAGAUUAGAGCGGUGAAUUAUCUACCAAUACACGAGGAAACACUGUUAACACAAGAAAAUGAUCAUGUUUGAAAGCUCAGUAACGGUAAUGAAGAUCUAAACAGACAUGACUCUGAAAGCAAAGUUCCAGGUAGAAAGACAACACUCAUCACAAUACAUACCCCCUUCUGUAGCCCUGUGAGAUAGAGAGAGGAAUGUACACAGAGGCUGGAAAAGUUGGGGCAGAGUUGUGAAGGGCUUUAAAAACUAAAUUGGGUAGUUUGUUUAUAUUUCAUCCUAGAUGCAAUGAGAAGCCAGUGGGAUUUACUGAGUAAGGGAGUGACAUGGUCACACCUGCAUUGAAAGAAACUCACUUUCCCAGCUGUGUUAAGGACAGAAAGGAAUGGGAAAAGAACUAAGCAGAAAAACUGAUGAGGAAAAGUGUUAACAGUAGCCUAGAAAAGAAGUGAUAAGGGCCUCUGGGAGACAGAAUCAGAUGCUAAAGAGGUUAUGGAAAUCAAAACAGAUCAUAUGGAGUAAGUGAGGGUGGAAUUAAUAAUAACAUAGUUCCGAAUUUGGGAAUCUAGACAAAUUGGCGAUACUUUUUACAAUUCUUCUCAAACUUUGCUAAGAUAAACUCCAAAUUGAUAUUAAAGGGAAUAUCAUAAGCAAGAAAUUGAUAUUAUCCAAAUUGAUAUUAAAGGUAAUAUCAUAAGCACAUUAAAGCAGCAAGGGAAAAAAUGAUCAGCUCUAUAGAUAUGGGAAGAGUUUAUGAAUAAACAAGUAAUAGAGAGGAUCACACAAAAUGGGCAGUUUUGAUGACAUAAAAUUUAAAAGAUUUUACAUAAAUCCAGUAGUUAAAGAUUAGAAGGGAAACGGUUAACUGGGGGGAAAUAUCCUCAUAGCAAAUUUCUCUGAUAAUUUAUCAAGUCUCAUUUCCAAUAUAUAUAAAGAACUGAUUUAAAUUUAUAAGAAUAAGAGCCAUUCCCCAAUUAAUAAGUUGUCAAAGGAUAUGAAAAGGCAGUUCUCAAAAGGAAGAAACUCAAGCUAUGAACAACCAUAUGAAAAAUUGCUCCAAAUCACUAAUAAUCAGAGAAAUACAAAUUAAAGAAACUCCGAAGUUCCACCUCAAAUCCAUCACUUUGUCAAUGCUGACCAAAAAAAAAACCCAUAAUGGCAAAUGCUGGAGGGGCUUCUGAAAAAUAGGUUCACUAGCACAUUAUUGGUAGAGUUCUGAGUUGGUACAAAAAUUGUGGUUAUCAACUUGGAAUUAUGCCCCAAAAGAUAUUUUUCCCCAUCAAUAACUACAAGGCCUAUCCCCCAAAUCUCAAAAAAAAAAAAAAGAAAAAGGUU
Molecule: long non-coding RNA, 2304 nt
Organism: Trichosurus vulpecula (common brushtail)
Lineage: Eukaryota; Metazoa; Chordata; Mammalia; Diprotodontia; Phalangeridae
Exons: 2
Source: RefSeq, a predicted model, not a curated record